RNAcentral lists this ribosomal RNA (505 nucleotides) under uncultured bacterium. RNAcentral's name for it is "partial 16S ribosomal RNA". It matches the Rfam family "Bacterial small subunit ribosomal RNA", at positions 28 to 507 of the family's 1533-position model. The record is from RNAcentral.
GACGAACGCUGGCGGCGUGCCUAAUACAUGCAAGUAGAACGCACAGUUUAUACCGUAGCUUGCUACACCAUAAACUGUGAGUUGCGAACGGGUGAGUAACGCGUAGGUAACCUGCCUGGUAGCGGGGGAUAACUAUUGGAAACGAUAGCUAAUACCGCAUAAUAUUGAUUAUUGCAUGAUAAUUGAUUGAAAGAUGCUAUUGCAUCACUACCAGAUGGACCUGCGUUGUAUUAGCUAGUAGGUGAGGUAACGGCUCACCUAGGCGACGAUACAUAGCCGACCUGAGAGGGUGAUCGGCCACACUGGGACUGAGACACGGCCCAGACUCCUACGGGAGGCAGCAGUAGGGAAUCUUCGGCAAUGGACGAAAGUCUGACCGAGCAACGCCGCGUGAGUGAAGAAGGUUGUCGGAUCGUAAAGCUCGGUUGUAAGAGAAGAACGGGUGUGAGAGUGGAAAGUUCACACUGUGACGGUAUCUUAACAGAAAGGGACGGCUAACUACGUG